This 255-nucleotide ribosomal RNA is filed under the name uncultured bacterium. Its description in RNAcentral is "partial 16S ribosomal RNA". It matches the Rfam family "Bacterial small subunit ribosomal RNA", at positions 524 to 777 of the family's 1533-position model. The record is from RNAcentral.
UACGGGGGGGGGCAAGCGUUGUUCGGAAUUACUGGGCGUAAAGGGCUCGUAGGCGGCCAACUAAGUCAAACGUGAAAUCCCUCGGCUUAACCGGGGAACUGCGUCUGAUACUGGAUGGCUUGAGUUUGGGAGAGGGAUGCGGAAUUCCAGGUGUAGCGGUGAAAUGCGUAGAUAUCUGGAGGAACACCGGUGGCGAAGGCGGCAUCCUGGACCAACACUGACGCUGAGGAGCGAAAGCCAGGGGAGCAAAACGGG